UACGUAGGGUGCAAGCGUUGUCCGGAAUUAUUGGGCGUAAAGAGCUCGUAGGCGGUUUGUCGCGUCUGCUGUGAAAACUCGGGGCUUAACCCCGGGCGUGCAGUGGAUACGGGCAGGCUGGAGGCAGGCAGGGGAGAACGGAAUUCCCGGUGUAGCGGUGAAAUGCGCAGAUAUCGGGAGGAACACCGGUGGCGAAGGCGGUUCUCUGGGCCUGUACUGACGCUGAGGAGCGAAAGCGUGGGGAGCAAAUGGG
RNAcentral lists this ribosomal RNA (253 nucleotides) under uncultured bacterium. RNAcentral describes it as "partial 16S ribosomal RNA". It matches the Rfam family "Bacterial small subunit ribosomal RNA", at positions 524 to 776 of the family's 1533-position model. The record is from RNAcentral.